This is a long non-coding RNA of Homo sapiens (human), 1723 nucleotides long. Ensembl annotates it as SLC25A51 pseudogene 4. Its record names the gene SLC25A51P4. The record is from Ensembl. Lineage: Eukaryota; Metazoa; Chordata; Mammalia; Primates; Hominidae.
AGGCGGCGCGCGCGGAAUCAGUUGAGUCUCUUCGGUUCCCGGCUCUUUCUCCUGCGACUGGGGAAAUGGACGCCUGGAGAACGGAAAUCCAGUUAUCAAAAUUGACUCCAGAAGAGAGAACCUAACAGAACAAUAACAAUGGAAGAAAUUGGGAAUAUUAUCAAAAAGCUAUCAUUCUGUUAAACUCCAGGCUUGGAUGGUGUUACAGGUUUAAAAAAAAAAAAAGAAAAAGUCCUUCAUGAAAAAAGAAGAACUUAAGCAACAUGAUGGAUUCAGAAGCUCAUGGAAAGAGACCACCAAUACUAACAUCUUCGAAACAAGAUAUGUCACCUCAUAUUACAGAUUUAGUGAAAUGAAGCAUUACUUGUGUGGCUGCUGUGCAGCCUUCAACAACGUCGCAAUCACAUUUCCCAUUCAGAAGGUCCUCUUUCCACAACAGCUGUAUGGCAUCAAAACGGGGGAUGCAAUACUUCAGUUGAGAACGGAUGGAUUUCGAAACUUGUAUCGGGGAAUCUUUCCCCGAUUGAUGCAGAAGACAACUACACUUGCACUUACGUUUGGUCUGUAUGAGGAUUUAUCCUACCUUCUCCACAAGCAUGUCAGUGCUCCAGAGUUUGCAACCUGUGGCGUGGCAGCAGUGCUUGCAGGGACAACGGAAGCAAUUUUCACUUCAGACAUUGCUUCAAGACCACAAGCACCAUGACAAAUUUGCCAACAUUUAUCAGGCUUUCAAGGCACUGAAAUGUCAUGGAAUUGGAGAGUUUUAUCGAGGUUUGGUGCCCAUUCUUUUCCAGAAUGGACUCAGCAAUGUCUUUUUUUUUUCGGCCUUCGAGGUCACGUUAAGGAGCAUCUGCCUACCGCGACGACUCACAAUUCUCAUUUGGUCAAUGAUUUUAUCGGUGGAGGUCUAUUGGGUGCCAUGUUGGGAUUCCUGUUUUUUCCAAUUAAUGUUGUAAAAACUCGCAUACAGUCUCAGAUUGGUGGGGAAUUUCAGUCUUUCCCCAAGGUUUUCCAAAAAAUCUGGCUGGAACGGGACAGAAAACUGAUAAAUCUUUUCAGAGGUUCUCAUCUGAAUUACCAUCUGUCCCUUAUCUCUUGGGGCAUAAUCAAUGCAAAGGUUAUAUGAAAAAAAACAUCAGUUAAGUGCCACUUAUCAACUGAAUAGACCUUCUAAGAAGAAUGCAGUUUGGCCUCUUCCUUAAUUGGCCAAAUACAAGUUGGUGUCAUAACUCCAGGCCACACUUUUGAAGACCAGACUGCAAAUAUAUUACCAGGGAUGGUUUUGUGUUGUCCUACAGACUUCUUAAAUUUGACAAAAAUUCAGCUGAACUUGUAACCAACAGCUUUGUCUGAACUUGAAGUCAAAAUGUGUUGUUAAUAAGAGAUUCUAGCUAUUGCUUUUACCUUCAGUGUGAACCAGUGUGGUAAUAAUUUUGAAAAAGCAGGCUGGACACAGUGGCUCAUGCCUGUAAUCCCAGAAUUUUGGGAGGCCGAGACGGGCACAUCAUUUGAGGUCAGGAGUUCAAGACCAGCCUGGCCAACAUGGUGAAACCCCAUCUCUAUUAUAUAAGAAAUUAGCAGGGCAUGGUGGCACAUGCCUGUGAUCCCAGCUACUGAGGAGGCUGAGGCAGGAGAAUCACUUGAACCCAGAAGGCGGAAGUUGCAGUGAGCCGAGACAGUGCCACCGUACUCUAGCCUGGGCGACAGAGCAAGACUCCAUCUC